GACAGAGGGUGCAAGCGUUGUUCGGAAUUAUUGGGCGUAAAGCGCGCGUAGGCGGCCGAUUAAGUCGCAUGUGAAGGCCCAGGGCUCAACCCUGGAAGUGCAUGCGAUACUGAUUGGCUAGAGUCCUGGAGAGGGUGGUGGAAUUCCUGGUGUAGAGGUGAAAUUCGUAGAUAUCAGGAGGAACACCGGUGGCGAAGGCGACCGCCUGGACAGGUACUGACGCUGAGGUGCGAAAGCGUGGGGAGCAAACAGG
This 253-nucleotide ribosomal RNA is filed under the name uncultured bacterium. RNAcentral describes it as "partial 16S ribosomal RNA". It matches the Rfam family "Bacterial small subunit ribosomal RNA", at positions 524 to 776 of the family's 1533-position model. The record is from RNAcentral.